UACGUAGGGGGCGAGCGUUGUCCGAAGUUACUGGGCGUAAAGCGCGCGUAGGCGGCUCUUUAAGUCUGGCGUGAAAGGUUCAGGGCUCAACCCGAACAGUGCGCUGGAGACUGGAGAGCUUGAGGACGGGAGAGGGAAGCGGAAUUCCGGGUGUAGCGGUGAAAUGCGUAGAUAUCCGGAGGAACACCGAUGGCGAAGGCAGCUUCCUGGUCCGUAUCUGACGCUGAGGUGCGAAAGCGUGGGGAGCGAACGGG
RNAcentral lists this ribosomal RNA (254 nucleotides) under uncultured bacterium. RNAcentral describes it as "partial 16S ribosomal RNA". It matches the Rfam family "Bacterial small subunit ribosomal RNA", at positions 524 to 776 of the family's 1533-position model. The record is from RNAcentral.